CCUACGGGUGGCAGCAGUCGGGAAUAUUGCGCAAUGGAGGAAACUCUGAUGCAGUGACGCCGCGUGCAUGAAGAAGGAUUUCGGAUUGUAAACCUCUUUAGACAGGGAAGAAAACAGUGAGUACCUCUAGACUAAGCUCCGCCUAACUAUGUGCCAGCAGCGGCGGUAUUACGUAGGGGGCAAGCGUUAUCCGGAUUUAUUGGGUGUAAAGGGUGCGCAGAGGGAGAAGCAAGUCAGUAGUGAAAGCCGGCGGCUUAACUGCGGAACUGCACUGAAAACUACAUGCCUGGAGUGCUGGAGAGGAAAGUGGAAUUCCUAGUGUAGCGGUGAAAUGCGUAGAUAUUAGGAGGAACACCAGUGGCGAAGGCGACUUACUGGACAGUAACUGACGUUGAGGCACGAAAGUGUGGGGAGCAAACAGGAUUAGAUACCCGAGUAGUC
This 441-nucleotide ribosomal RNA is filed under the name uncultured bacterium. RNAcentral's name for it is "partial 16S ribosomal RNA". It matches the Rfam family "Bacterial small subunit ribosomal RNA", at positions 338 to 795 of the family's 1533-position model. The record is from RNAcentral.